RNAcentral lists this ribosomal RNA (406 nucleotides) under uncultured Flavobacteriaceae bacterium. RNAcentral describes it as "bacterial SSU rRNA". It matches the Rfam family "Bacterial small subunit ribosomal RNA", at positions 506 to 916 of the family's 1533-position model. Lineage: Bacteria; Pseudomonadati; Bacteroidota; Flavobacteriia; Flavobacteriales; Flavobacteriaceae. The record is from RNAcentral.
UGUCAGCAGCCGCGGUAAUACGGAGGAUCCAAGCGUUAUCCGGAAUCAUUGGGUUUAAAGGGUCCGUAGGCGGUCUUGUAAGUCAGUGGUGAAAGCCCAUCGCUCAACGGUGGAACGGCCAUUGAUACUGCAGGACUUGAAUUAUUGGGAAGUAACUAGAAUAUGUAGUGUAGCGGUGAAAUGCUUAGAGAUUACAUGGAAUACCAAUUGCGAAGGCAGGUUACUACCAAUUUAUUGACGCUGAUGGACGAAAGCGUGGGUAGCGAACAGGAUUAGAUACCCUGGUAGUCCACGCCGUAAACGAUGGAUACUAGCUGUUGGGCGCAAGUUCAGUGGCUAAGCGAAAGUGAUAAGUAUCCCACCUGGGGAGUACGAACGCAAGUUUGAAACUCAAAGAAAUUGGCGG